GUAAAAUGUGCUUCGUGUUAAAAGUACUGCGGGCAAUCUGAGGAUUGUUAACCAUGGAGCAAGUGUGCUCAGAUCCUUCCCGAAUGUGUUUUAUAGAAGUGACUUAGAGAAUUAAAUUUAUUCCCCAACAAAAAUGGAAAUCUUUCUGAAUGUAUUCGGCCGGUCUCACCCCACCCCCUUCUGGCUUUUGUAGACUGCACCUUUAAAGGAACGUGCAGAAAUACGAUAACCUGGAACUACAUAAAUUCAUUCCCUGAUUACGGUCGAGAUUCACACAAGGCAUGAAACUGAAAGGCAUAGGCAAGGCUGUACCUAGGCAAACGCACUGGAUAUUCUAGAAACCAUCCAGCACACUCCCUAAGGAAUAGGAUUCCGGAUAGUCUGCACAUGCCUUGCAACUUCUUAACCUUGCCUGGUUUAGAACUUGCUGCCGGUUCAGGAACGUCUCAGAACCGCAAUCAGACUACGCACAACGGAUUGCAGUCCUUUCCAGCUCCCCCACUAUUUCUUGAGAGGAGAAAUACUGCUGAACAUUCAAGUCCGUCCCAGUGCCCUAGGGACAGUGCUGGACUCACAACACGGAGUCAAUCACGACGUGACAUGAUUUAUCGGGUUUGGACUGAUUUAUUAAGGUUCUGGCUGUAGAAGAAAACAGAAGUUUCCAGGGCUCUGGAAUAUCAGGUGUGCUAAUGAACGUCCUCUAAAGCCUGGGAGCACAUCAGCACCUUGUCACCUUGUCUGCCAGGCGCUGGCGGAAGUGGGAGAUUUGUUCAUAACACCAGGUCAUUUCCUCCCUUCCGUUCUGACCUCCCGGCACUUUCAGCACCAGCCCCCACAGACGCCACGAGCCAAGUCACUUAGUGACAUCUUAAGGUGAGGCCAAGAACUGACAGCGUGUGCUGUCCUUAAACUCAGAGGGGACCCUCCAAAUCCAGAGAUCCCCUCCUUGGAUAGCUUGCCACGUGGAAAUAUGAGGAGUGGAGACAUUAAAUGGAUUUUUGAAUAUACUUAAUAAAGAAAAAAAAUUGCUAUGUAAUUUUACCUGAUUCCCAGGAUUAUCUAGUACUUAACUAUCCAUAAUAAGGUUUUUUAAAUGUGUGGGGUUCAUUCAUUUAUUUAAUAAAUGUUUCCUGAAUACCUACUAUGUUCUAGGCACUAUUUUAGGGGUUAGGUAUA
RNAcentral lists this long non-coding RNA (1176 nucleotides) under Ailuropoda melanoleuca (giant panda). RNAcentral describes it as "lncRNA (ENSAMEG00000028838.1)". Lineage: Eukaryota; Metazoa; Chordata; Mammalia; Carnivora; Ursidae. The record is from RNAcentral.